Molecule: long non-coding RNA, 1631 nt
Organism: Equus caballus (horse)
Lineage: Eukaryota; Metazoa; Chordata; Mammalia; Perissodactyla; Equidae
Source: Ensembl
CAAGUUCAAUAGACAACCCCCUUGGUCCUUUGUCUAGGAGAAUAGCUACCAUUGAAGGCCAUGAGCAGAUUUCCUCGGGGCAGUGAUUCUUUUUCACCCCUUUGAAUUCAGAAGGAUGGCACAGACAUCUAAAAAACAGAAGAUUAGCCCUGAGCUAACAUCUGCUGCCAAUCCUCCUCUUUUUGCUGAAGAAGACUGGCCCUGAGCUAACAUCUGUGCCUAUCUUCUUCUACUUUAUAUGUGGGACGCCUACCACAGCAUGGCUUGCCAAGCGGUGCCAUGUCCGCGCCCAGGAUCCCAACUGGUGAACCCCUGGGCUGCUAAAGCGGAAUGUGCACACUUAACCGCUGUGCCACCAGGCCAGCCCAAUAGUUUUUAAUGGUUAUGUAGUAUUCUGAUAUAUGGGUGUGGUAUACAAAAUUGAACGAAUCACCUAUCUUUAUAGGUUGUUUUCAAUUUCUUUUUGUUAUUACAAACAACGCUGCAGUGAAUAAACUCAUAAAUUUAUGGAAUUUCCUCAGGAUGAUUCUCAGAAGUGUAAAUCCUGAGACAAUCUUAUGCCUAUUUGUCAGACAUAUUAUAUCCAUGCAUAUUGCCAAUCACCCCGCAGAAAUUUUUAACAAUUUCCAGUUCCCUCAACGGUGUAUGAGAUUUCUCAUCUCCCCAUACCUUUGCUAACAUUGGUUAUUGCCACCUUUUUAAAUAUUUUCUAAUCUGAUGUAUAAAAUGUCAUAUCAUUAUUUGAAAAUACAUUAUUAUUACUAGUGACCAUAAAACUUUUAAUAUGCUUAUUGAACAUUUAUAUUUUUGUAAAUUUUCUGUUUAUGUUCUUUCCUCCCAUUCUUUUAAAAUUGAAGUGUUUUAUUAGAAAUAAGUUUUCAUGAUUACGAUAGUAACCUUUUAUUUGAUGUAUUUGGAAAAUAUGUGUGUGAAUAUGCUUUGGUUAGAGUUUGAAAAGGGGAAGGAAUAAAUGAGUUUGAAUCCACUGGAGGUUAACAAGAAGACUUUUUCUAAAUCUCAAAUCUGAACCUUUAAAACUUGCUUUAAAACUUUUGCUAAUUUGCCUUUACCAUGGAAUGAAGCCUACAUUCUAAAACUUGGCACGCUGGUCCACCACCGUCUGCUUCAGCUGACCUUCCUCUCCUCUUCCCAGCCACUUUCUCAUGUGCCAGUGACGUGCUCGAGCACAGCAGCUUGUGAGAGCUGACUGUGCACAUCUCUCUGCAGCUGCAUGAUAAGUAAUGUCAUGUUGAUAGUCUGAAAUCAGCCACGGGGGAGUAUUUACACCAUAGAAACUGGCAAACUGGAGAAAUUAGGGCUUUUUUCCCCCUAGAGACUCAAUUAUUAAAUAUUUACCAGUAUCCCACCACAUAUACCCUAAACUCUGGGCAUCCUAAACUGCUUAGCAGUCCCAAUCCAGGUCAGGACUGAGGCAUGUAGGCAACCCAGACAGAGUAAUAGCUAAUAUUUGGUCAACACAUAUUAGCAAUGUGUGAGAGAGGCAGGGGGGCAGACCCGCUAGUGGCAGUGCGCUGCCUCUCUGUCUUUGUUCUGAGCAACCAGAUUCUAGUCCAAAGUAGCCCACCCUCUGCAGUCACGCCAAGCCUGCAGGUAGUUGACCUAUCCUUCUU